RNAcentral lists this ribosomal RNA (440 nucleotides) under uncultured bacterium. Its description in RNAcentral is "partial 16S ribosomal RNA". It matches the Rfam family "Bacterial small subunit ribosomal RNA", at positions 338 to 795 of the family's 1533-position model. The record is from RNAcentral.
CCUACGGGUGGCAGCAGUGGGGGAUAUUGCACAAUGGGGGAAACCCUGAUGCAGCGACGCCGCGUGGGUGAAGCAGCGUCUCGGCGCGUAAAGCCCUGUCAGCAGGGAAGAAAAUGACGGUACCUGACGAAGAAGCCCCGGCUAACUACGUGCCAGCAGCCGCGGUAAUACGUAGGGGGCAAGCGUUAUCCGGAUUUACUGGGUGUAAAGGGGGCGCAGACGGCGACGUAAGCCUGGAGUGAAAGCCCGGGGCUCAACCCCGGGACUGCUCUUGAAACUGCGUGGCUAGAGUGCAGGAGGGGCAAGCGGAAUUCCUGGUGUAGCGGUGAAAUGCGUAGAUAUCACGCAGAACCCCGAUGGCGAAGGCAGCCUUCCGGCGCCCUACUGACGUUGAGGCACGAAAGUGUGGGGAUCGAACAGGAUUAGAUACCCGAGUAGUC